This 253-nucleotide ribosomal RNA is filed under the name uncultured bacterium. RNAcentral's name for it is "partial 16S ribosomal RNA". It matches the Rfam family "Bacterial small subunit ribosomal RNA", at positions 524 to 776 of the family's 1533-position model. The record is from RNAcentral.
UACGUAGGGGGCGAGCGUUGUCCGGAGUUACUGGGCGUAAAGCGCACGCAGGCGGUCUGCUAAGUUUGGAGUGAUAGUUGGUGGCUUAACUGCCAAAGUGCUUCGAAAACUGACAGACUUGAGGGCUUCAGAGGGACACGGAAUUCCGGGUGGAGUGGUGAAAUGCGUAGAGAUCCGGAGGAACACCAAAGGCGAAGGCAGUGUCCUGGGGAGUACCUGACGCUCAGGUGCGAAAGCCAGGGGAGCGAACGGG